CAGCCCCCGCCACCGCGCCCUCCACCCUCGACGCGGCUGGCCCACGAGGACCAGCGCGGCUGCUCCCUCCUCACCGACCACGGCCGCCGCGACGACCAGAUGGGAGAAGCUCCAUGCCGGCGUGGUGGUGCGCCACCGAGCCACCCCCCACACGCCCUGCACCUUGAAUCUAGCCGAGGGAGCUGCGUCUCCAGCCAAGACUACCACUGAUCGAUUCACCUCCGGCGAGAAGGGGAGCGCCACCCACCACGCAGCAGCAGCAGCUCCUUCAUCCAUGGCGCGGAAUUGAAUUUCCAUUUCUGACUAGGCUUUCCAUAAACCACCAUUCCCAUUGUUUGUUUGGUUCUAGGGAUUAGUCGGGCUGAAUUUCAAUAAGCCAUUACUCCAAUUUCAAGUGUACCUUUCUCUUACAUAGCAUUCUUUCUACUGAUGGCAUGUAACAGGUCACCUAAAAUUGGACCCCCAACUUCAUCUGGUAGGGUACCUAGGAAUUUCUACCCACUAGUCAAGACUACAAGUAUCCCGCAAAAAAAAAAAAAGUCAAGACUACAAGUGCAGUAAGUCCAACUUCAUCUGCUAGGGUACCUAAGAAUUUUCCUCCAGGAGUAAAGACUACAGGUGAAGUAAGAAGUACAAGAAAGGACCAUGGUUUGCACAAGCGAGUGGUAUUUUGCAAGAGGGCUCAGAUGUCGGCUAUUAUGUUGGGGGAAAGGAUUACUUCUUGCCGUUUAUUUACACACCUUCUCUUAUCGGGCAGUACAAAUAUUGUUGUUAUUAAUACUGUUGUCCACUAACAUUCUAGAGGUUGCUACAUAAAGGAACUUGGAAUCAAUUAUCAUUGUUGCAAUACAGUGAUAAAAUUGCUAUCACUCCCGUUAGAUACAUACCAAUAAAACAACUCAAUCAACUAGUCAUCCUGGAACCUUAGUCUAUUUCAGUGAUACUACUGAACCUAACCAAGAAUUUUGUUAUGCUGUGCGAACAGGUUAGUCCUUCACUAUUAUUCAAAGCAAACCGUGAGUUUGUAGUCUUGUUAUGUAUUCUGUUAGGGCCCUGUUCAAACUAUUAUUUGCUCUGCUAACACUAUUGCAGUUACCACAACAUAUGCAUGCCCAAUGACAUUCUUUCAUGAUUUGUCCGUGUUGAGUGAUGAUGGUGUUUUUUAGCAGCUGCGGAAAUCUCAUUUUGAUAAACUGACAAGUGUGUGUUUCUAUUUGUUCAGUUUGGGAGGGAAUGUGACAUUGGAUGCCUGAAGGAACAUGGAUGUGCUGCGCCGUGUUGCGUGUGGGAUGCAGCAAGAUGGUGGUUCGUGUGAUCCCUCUUCCGUGUCAUGGGCAGCGAAGCCGGCGGGCUACCCUUGGUCGCCAUGAGCAGGGAUAACCAAGGCUUGAUGUACACAAUCAUGAGAGAUAUUUGUUUUACUCAUGCUAGAUGUGUGGUGAAUGCAAACGAAAGGAAGUGUGAAUGCCUCCCCUUCCAGAAAAACAUAGGAGCGUGCCAACUUCUAGUGGAAGUCAUGCCGGGAAGAGGCGAAUUCCAUGCCGACCGUAUCCACGGAUGGAUGUGACACUGAAGAUGAUCCCACAGGGACAGGGAAAGAGAUGAUCACUGAAGAUGAUGCUGCUACAGGAGAGGAAUUCGGAAAAUGAUCUAACCGUGGCACAAGAGAUGAUUCUUUGAUCAUUUCCAGAGAGGUUUCUGAGCUGGAAGGAAUUAUUUGCAUACAAGCAUUGUAUGGAUCUCCUUUUUUAUGGGGGUCCUCAACUAUUAAGAGAAUCUCCUUUUUUUUUAGGAAAUAGGAGAAUCUCCUCCUUUAUUUUAUGGAUUUUGGUGUAAGCAUGCAUGAAACACUGGAUGCAGGAUGGGCCGUGGCGCUAGGUGAUUUGUUCCACUGGGCGCAGUAUAGUAAGCUAUGCCAAAGUGGGCCGGUCCAAUAGGGGGUUUUCUCUCUGAUUAUUUGUUAAAAUAAAUUGUUGGCAGCUGUUUUCAUUA
Hordeum vulgare subsp. vulgare (domesticated barley) is the source of this 1992-nucleotide long non-coding RNA. RefSeq lists it as uncharacterized. The record is from RefSeq and is a predicted model, not a curated record. The transcript has 7 exons. NCBI's taxonomy places the organism in Eukaryota, Viridiplantae, Streptophyta, Magnoliopsida, Poales, Poaceae.